Gorilla gorilla gorilla (western lowland gorilla) is the source of this 434-nucleotide long non-coding RNA. RefSeq lists it as uncharacterized. The transcript is spliced from 3 exons. NCBI's taxonomy places the organism in Eukaryota, Metazoa, Chordata, Mammalia, Primates, Hominidae. The record is from RefSeq and is a predicted model, not a curated record.
UAUGUGGCUCCAAGAAUUUUCCUUUUAUCCUUGUUAUUUCAAACUUUCUGGGAAGUUUUUACCUGAAGCUGCCAUUCAGGGAGUUUAAGGAGGCAUUGUUACAGAUCAAGACGAUGUGCAUUUUGUAAGCACUUUGGGGCCACUAUCAAAUGCUGUGAAGAGAAAUGUACCCAGAUGUAUCAUUAUCCUUGUGCUGCAGGAGCCGGCUCCUUUCAGGAUUUCAGUCACAUCUUCCUGCUUUGUCCAGAACACAUUGACCAAGCUCCUGAAAGAUCGAAGGAAGAUGCAAACUGUGCAGUGUGCGACAGCCCGGGAGACCUCUUAGAUCAGUUCUUUUGUAUUACUUGUGGUCAGCACUAUCAUGGAAUGUGCCUGGAUAUAGCGGUUACUCCAUUAAAACGUGCAGGUUGGCAAUGUCCUGAGUGCAAAGUGUG